GGUGGAUGCCUUGACUGUAAGAGGCGAUGAAGGACGUAUUAGGCUGCGAUAAGCCUCGGGGAGCUGCCAAAGAGCUUUGAUCCGAGGAUUUCCGAAUGGGGCAACCCAGCAUAUAGAGAUAUAUGUUACCCUACGGGGAGCGAACCUGGUGAAGUGAAACAUCUCAGUAGCCAGAGGAAGAGAAAUCAAAUGAGAUUCCCAUAGUAGCGGCGAGCGAACUGGGAUUAGGACAAACCCAAUGCUUGCAUUGGGGGUUGUAGGACUAUAAUGUGUAAUUAAAGAGAAUAGAUGAAUUAGUUGGAAAACUAGAGCAUAGAAGGUGAUACUCCUGUAAUUAAAAUUCUCAAUAAUACUAAUAGUAUCCUGAGUAGGUCGGAACACGUGAUAUUUUGACUGAAGCUGGGGGACCACCUCCAAUCCUAAAUACUACUUACAGAUCGAUAGUGAACAAGUACCGUGAGG
RNAcentral lists this ribosomal RNA (462 nucleotides) under uncultured bacterium. RNAcentral describes it as "bacterial LSU rRNA". It matches the Rfam family "Bacterial large subunit ribosomal RNA", at positions 23 to 508 of the family's 2925-position model. The record is from RNAcentral.